RNAcentral lists this ribosomal RNA (467 nucleotides) under uncultured bacterium. RNAcentral describes it as "partial 16S ribosomal RNA". It matches the Rfam family "Bacterial small subunit ribosomal RNA", at positions 28 to 506 of the family's 1533-position model. The record is from RNAcentral.
GACGAACGCUGGCGGCGUGCUUAACACAUGCAAGUCGAACGGAAAGGCCCUGCUUUUGUGGGGUGCUCGAGUGGCGAACGGGUGAGUAACACGUGAGUAACCUGCCCUUGACUUUGGGAUAACUUCAGGAAACUGGGGCUAAUACCGGAUAGGAGCUCCUGCUGCAUGGUGGGGGUUGGAACGUUUCGGCGGUUGGGGAUGGACUCGCGGCUUAUCAGCUUGUUGGUGUGGUAGUGGCUUACCAAGGCUUUGACGGGUAGCCGGCCUGAGAGGGUGACAGGCCACAGUGGGACUGAGAUACGGCCCAGACUCCUACGGGAGGCAGGAGUGGGGAAUAUUGCACAAUGGGCGGAAGCCUGAUGCAGCAACGCCGCGUGCGGGAUGACGGUCUUCGGGUUGUAAACCGCUUUAGCCUGUGACGAAGCGUGAGUGACGGUAAUGGGUAAAGAAGCACCGGCUAACUACGU